RNAcentral lists this ribosomal RNA (406 nucleotides) under uncultured bacterium. Its description in RNAcentral is "partial 16S ribosomal RNA". It matches the Rfam family "Bacterial small subunit ribosomal RNA", at positions 30 to 526 of the family's 1533-position model. The record is from RNAcentral.
AUUGAACGCUGGCGGCAGGCCUAACACAUGCAAGUCGAACGAGUGGCGGACGGGUGAGUAAUGUCUGGGAAACUGCCUGAUGGAGGGGGAUAACUACUGGAAACGGUAGCUAAUACCGCAUACCCACAGAUGUGCCCAUAUGGGAUUAGAUUGUUGGUGGGGUAAUGGAUCACAAAGGCGACGCUCCCUAGCUGGUCUGAGAGGAUGACCGUCAAGACUGGAACUGAGACACGGUCCAGACUCCUACGGGAGGCAGCAGUGGGGAAUAUUGCACCAUGGUAGCAAGCCGUAUGCAGCCAUGCCGCGUGUAUGAAGAAGGCCUUCGGGUUGUAAAGUACUUUCAGCGGGGAGGCGUUACCCGCAGAAGAAGCACCGGCUAACUCCGUGCCAGCAGCCGCGGUAAUUC